This 253-nucleotide ribosomal RNA is filed under the name uncultured bacterium. RNAcentral describes it as "partial 16S ribosomal RNA". It matches the Rfam family "Bacterial small subunit ribosomal RNA", at positions 524 to 776 of the family's 1533-position model. The record is from RNAcentral.
UACGUAGGUGGCAAGCGUUGUCCGGAUUUAUUGGGUUUAAAGGGUACGUAGGCGGUUCUUUAAGUCAGUGGUGAAAUACAGCCGCUUAACGGCUGAGGCGCCAUUGAUACCGGGGAACUUGAGUACAGACGAGGUAGACGGAAUUGACGGUGUAGCGGUGAAAUGCAUAGAUAUCGUCAAGAACACCGAUAGCGAAGGCAGCUUACUAGACUGUAACUGACGCUGAUGCACGAAAGUGUGGGGAUCAAACAGG